GACGAACGCUGGCGGCGUGCUUAACACAUGCAAGUCGAACGGUGAAGCGCUUGCCUUUUUGGUGGGUGUGGAUGAGUGGCGAACGGGUGAGUAACACGUGAGUAACCUGCCCUCUUCUUCUGGAUAACCUCAUGAAAGUGGGGCUAAUACGGGGUAUUCCGGGUCUGUCGCAUGGCGGGUUUGGGAAAGAUUGCGCCUUUGGGUGUUUUCGGUGGGGGAUGGGCUCGCGGCCUAUCAGCUUGUUGGUGGGGUGAUGGCCUACCAAGGCGGUGACGGGUAGCCGGCGUGAGAGGGUGGGCGGCCACACUGGGACUGAGACACGGCCCAGACUCCGGCGGGAGGCAGCAGUGGGGAAGAUUGCACAAUGGGCGCAAGCCUGAUGCAGCGACGCCGCGUGAGGGAUGGAGGCCUUCGGGUUGUGAACCUCUUUCGCCAGUGAAGCAGGCCUGCUCCUGUGUGGGUGGGUUGACGGUAGCUGGAGAAGAAGCGCCGGCUAACUACGUG
This 504-nucleotide ribosomal RNA is filed under the name uncultured bacterium. RNAcentral's name for it is "partial 16S ribosomal RNA". It matches the Rfam family "Bacterial small subunit ribosomal RNA", at positions 28 to 507 of the family's 1533-position model. The record is from RNAcentral.